AUACGGAAGGUCCGGGCGUUAUCCGGAUUUAUUGGGUUUAAAGGGAGCGCAGGCGGAGAUGCAAGCGUGACGUCAAAUUUCGGGGCUCAACCCCGUCUCGCGUCGCGAACUGCGUCCCUUGGUUGCGGGAAGGGGAGGCGGAACUCGUGGUGUAGCGGUGAAAUGCAUAGAUAUCACGAAGAACUCCGAUCGCGAAGGCAGCCUUCCGGCCCGUCAACGACGCUCAUGCUCGAAGGUGCGGGUAUCAAACAGGAUUAGAUACCCUGGUAGUCCGCACAGUAAACGAUGGACACCCGCGGUUUGGCCUAUAUGGCUGAGCCGCCAAGCGAAAGCGUUAAGUGUCCCACCUGGGGAGUACGCCGGCAACGGUGAAACUCAAAUGAAUUGGCGGGG
RNAcentral lists this ribosomal RNA (393 nucleotides) under uncultured bacterium. RNAcentral describes it as "partial 16S ribosomal RNA". It matches the Rfam family "Bacterial small subunit ribosomal RNA", at positions 523 to 918 of the family's 1533-position model. The record is from RNAcentral.